UACGUAGGGAGCAAGCGUUGUCCGGAAUCAUUGGGCGUAAAGCGCGCGUAGGUGGCUUCGUAAGUCCGUUGUGAAAGUCAAAGGCUCAACCUUUGAAAGCCGAUGGAUACUGCGGAGCUAGAGUACGGAAGAGGCGAGUGGAAUUCCUGGUGUAGCGGUGGAAUGCGCAGAUAUCAGGAAGAACACCAACGGCGAAGGCAGCUCGCUGGGACGGUACUGACGCUGAGACGCGAAAGCGUGGGGAGCGAACAGG
Molecule: ribosomal RNA, 253 nt
Filed under: uncultured bacterium
Lineage: Bacteria
Description: partial 16S ribosomal RNA
Rfam family: Bacterial small subunit ribosomal RNA
Source: RNAcentral